UGACGGAGUUAUGGAAAAGGAGCAUUAGAAGCCCUCGGCACUUCUGGCUUUAUAUUUCACACCUCGGAACAUCUGCACAGAAACCAAUACCCAAGUUGCCCCUGCUGCUGGUUCCAAGCCUGCUGUUCUCUGCAGUCUCCCUUGACGCAGCUUUCUCCUGGCUUCCAAUCCAUGGGGAGAAAACGAGACACCAACUUUUCCUGGGAGAGCACUGUGGUUCCUAUUGAGGAGUUGCCCCCACCUGCCUUAGUCACAGGAGAACCCAUAGGGUCUCGAAUCCCAUCCAGAGCACAGGCCUACUUAUUAAGAUACCUGAUUGGCACAAAUGGGAAGAUUUACCUCUAUAAAACACAGCAGCUUCGCUCUCAGAGUACAAAACCAAAACUGGGAGAGACAUAUGAUCCUAGGAGUGUGUUUGUGUCUAAUAAUGAAGAAUGUUUUUUUAGAAAGGGCCCUAAACCUGAAAUAAAAACAAAUAUGUACUGCAGUUUAUUUUGUGAAAUCGAGCAAUAUUGAUGGUACCUAGAAAAGGACUGACAUGUAAUAGCCCGCAGUAAAGGUUUUUGACUGUUGACAGGACAACCUCCUCUUUUUAACCUCUGUCUUGUUGAGAGCCACAGCUUGUUGUUGAGAGUCGGAAUGGCACCUGGCAUUUUACCAGAAGGAGUGGUUGAGAGGUGACGCCAGCGAGCCAUUAAGAUGAUGAUAAUUAAGUUAAGCUGUGUAUAAUUGCU
This 734-nucleotide long non-coding RNA is filed under the name Marmota monax (woodchuck). The record is from RNAcentral. Lineage: Eukaryota; Metazoa; Chordata; Mammalia; Rodentia; Sciuridae.